Molecule: transfer RNA, 73 nt
Filed under: Promethearchaeota archaeon
Lineage: Archaea; Promethearchaeati; Promethearchaeota
Also listed under: 1 other name
Description: Candidatus Lokiarchaeota archaeon tRNA-Ile
Rfam family: tRNA
About the family: Transfer RNA (tRNA) molecules are approximately 80 nucleotides in length. Their secondary structure includes four short double-helical elements and three loops (D, anti-codon, and T loops). Further hydrogen bonds mediate the characteristic L-shaped molecular structure. tRNAs have two regions of fundamental functional importance: the anti-codon, which is responsible for specific mRNA codon recognition, and the 3' end, to which the tRNAs corresponding amino acid is attached (by aminoacyl-tRNA synthetases). tRNAs cope with the degeneracy of the genetic code in two manners: having more than one tRNA (with a specific anti-codon) for a particular amino acid; and 'wobble' base-pairing, i.e. permitting non-standard base-pairing at the 3rd anti-codon position.
Source: RNAcentral
GGGAGCGUAACUUAACUAGGGAGAGUAGCAGUCUUAUAAGCUGUGUACAGAAGUUCAAAUCUUCUCGCUCCUA